Molecule: non-coding RNA, 399 nt
Organism: Paenibacillus polymyxa SC2
Lineage: Bacteria; Bacillati; Bacillota; Bacilli; Caryophanales; Paenibacillaceae
Rfam family: Bacterial RNase P class A
About the family: Ribonuclease P (RNase P) is a ubiquitous endoribonuclease, found in archaea, bacteria and eukarya as well as chloroplasts and mitochondria.
Source: Rfam
AAAGUUUGACAGACAAUCGCUGGUGGCAUAAGCCACGAGAGGAAAGUCCGGGCUCCAUAGGGCAGGAUGCUGGAUAACGUCCAGUCAGCGCGAGUUGAAGGAUAGUGCCACAGAAAUGGACCGCCGAUGGCCGCUUGCGGCACAGGCAAGGAUGGAACCGAGGUGUAAGAGACCCCGAGGAACGCUGGUGACUUCGUUCCUGGUAAACCCCAUCUGGAGCAAGACCUAAAGGGACACAGCUUCUUCGCGAAGCAGCCUUAGCCCGAGGCGUGUCUAGGUUGGUCGCUGGAGCUGGAUAGCAAUGUUCGGCCUAGAUAGAUGAUUGUCGCUUUUAGUGGGAGGGUAGUUCCCGUCUGUACCACGAAUAGCACAGAACCCGGCUUACGGAAAACUUUCCCC